RNAcentral lists this long non-coding RNA (462 nucleotides) under Piliocolobus tephrosceles (Ugandan red Colobus). RNAcentral's name for it is "lncRNA (ENSPTEG00000009531.1)". Lineage: Eukaryota; Metazoa; Chordata; Mammalia; Primates; Cercopithecidae. The record is from RNAcentral.
AUGGCGUGGGGCGGCGAGGGGAGGGACUGGGCCGCGGCGGACUCGGCGGCGGAGGGAGGAGCGCGGCUGCGGGCGGGCGGGCGGCGAGCGAGGCGCUCAAAGUCAGCCUCGCAGACAUUGCAGCAGAGCCCCGAACUCGGGAGGCCGCGGCGGAGGAGGCGGCGGCGAGGCGCAGGGACGAUCCGGCCCCACGCCCGCCCGCCACCCGCGCGCGCCCGUCCACCCGUGGCCUCGCGUCCGCCGCUGCGCCGGGAGCGCCGCUGGUCGGAGGGAAGAGCUCGCCGGGGUGCCGGGCCAGGACGGGGCGGCAGGCGCCUUCGCGGACCGAGCCUGACGGAGCCGGAGGCUGGGAGCCGCGGCGGCCUGGGGAAGUGUUUGGAUUGUGAGCUAUUUCAGAACUCUGUUCUCAGGACUCAUUAUUUUAACAUUUGGGAGAAACACAGCCAGAAGAUGCAUACUUGA